RNAcentral lists this ribosomal RNA (242 nucleotides) under uncultured bacterium. RNAcentral's name for it is "partial 16S ribosomal RNA". It matches the Rfam family "Bacterial small subunit ribosomal RNA", at positions 91 to 334 of the family's 1533-position model. The record is from RNAcentral.
AUUAGUGGCGAACGGGUGAGUAACACGUGAGUAACCUGCCCCUGACUCUGGGAUAAGCGUUGGAAACGACGUCUAAUACUGGAUAUGAUCACUGGCCGCAUGGUCUGGUGGUGGAAAGAUUUUUGGUUGGGGAUGGACUCGCGGCCUAUCAGCUUGUUGGUGAGGUAAUGGCUCACCAAGGCGACGACGGGUAGCCGGCCUGAGAGGGUGACCGGCCACACUGGGACUGAGACACGGCCCAG